GAUGAACGCUGGCGGCGUGCCUAAUACAUGCAAGUCGAGCGAAUGGAUUAAGAGCUUGCUCUUAUGAAGUUAGCGGCGGACGGGUGAGUAACACGUGGGUAACCUGCCCAUAAGACUGGGAUAAAUCCGGGAAACCGGGGCUAAUACCGGAUAACAUUUUGAACCGCAUGGUUCGAAAUUGAAAGGCGGCUUCGGCUGUCACUUAUGGCUGGACCCGCGUCGCAUUAGCUAGUUGGUGAGGUAACGGCUCACCAAGGCAACGAUGCGUAGCCGACCUGCGAGGGUGAUCGGCCACACUGGGACUGAGACACGGCCCAGACUCCUACGGGAGGCAGCAGUAGGGAAUCUUCCGCAAUGGACGAAAGUCUGACGGAGCAACGCCGCGUGAGAGAUGAAGGCUUUCGGGUCGUAAAACUCUGUUGUUAGGGAAGAACAAGUGCUAGUUGAAUAAGCUGGCACCUUGACGGUACCUAACCAGAAAGCCACGGCUAACUACGUGCCAGCCGCCGCAGUAA
RNAcentral lists this ribosomal RNA (515 nucleotides) under uncultured bacterium. Its description in RNAcentral is "partial 16S ribosomal RNA". It matches the Rfam family "Bacterial small subunit ribosomal RNA", at positions 28 to 523 of the family's 1533-position model. The record is from RNAcentral.